RNAcentral lists this small nuclear RNA (319 nucleotides) under Urocitellus parryii (Arctic ground squirrel). Its description in RNAcentral is "7SK RNA (ENSUPAG00010001881.1)". It matches the Rfam family "7SK RNA". Rfam says of the family: 7SK was discovered as an abundant small nuclear RNA in the mid-70s but a possible function has only recently been suggested. The record is from Rfam by way of RNAcentral. Lineage: Eukaryota; Metazoa; Chordata; Mammalia; Rodentia; Sciuridae.
GGAUGUGAGGGCGAUCUGGCUGCGACAUCUGUCACCCCAUUGAUCGCCAGGGUUGAUUCGGCUGAUCUGGCUGGCUAGGCGGGUGUCCCCUUCCUCCCUCACCGCUCCAUGUGCGUCCCUCCCGAAGCUGCGCGCUCGGUCGAAGAGGACGACCUUCCCCGAUAGAGGAGGACCGGUCUUCUGUCAAGGGUAUACGAGUAGCUGCGCUCCCCUGCUAGAACCUCCAAACAAGCUCUCAAGAAUCCACUGAAUAUAAUGUAAAUUACAUUUUAAACAUCAAUUAAAUGACUUAAACAUUUAUGAAAAUCUGGUUACCAAC